Molecule: ribosomal RNA, 504 nt
Filed under: uncultured bacterium
Lineage: Bacteria
Description: bacterial SSU rRNA
Rfam family: Bacterial small subunit ribosomal RNA
Source: RNAcentral
AACAACGCUGGCGGCGUGCCUAACACAUGCAAGUCGAACGAGAAAGUCGGUUUCGGCCGAUGAGUAAAGUGGCGCACGGGUGAGUAACGCGUGGAUAAUCUACCCUUUAGUCCGGAAUAACUUGCCGAAAGGUGAACUAAUACCGGAUGACAUCCCGGGUUCUCCGGAAACCGGGAUCAAAGAAGGCCUCUGCUUGCAAGCUUUUGCUGAAGGAUGAGUCCGCGUACCAUUAGCUAGUUGGUGGGGUAAUGGCCUACCAAGGUUAUGAUGGUUAGCUGGUCUGAGAGGAUGAUCAGCCACACUGGAACUGAAACACGGUCCAGACUCCUACGGGAGGCAGCAGUGAGGAAUAUUGCGCAAUGGGGGCAACCCUGACGCAGCAACGCCGCGUGAGUGAGGAAGGUUUUCGGAUUGUAAAGCUCUGUCGAGCGGAAAGAAAUGCACGAUGGCUAAUAUCCAUCAUGCUUGACGGUACCGCUAGAGGAAGCACCGGCUAACUCCGUG